This 292-nucleotide ribosomal RNA is filed under the name uncultured bacterium. RNAcentral describes it as "partial 16S ribosomal RNA". It matches the Rfam family "Bacterial small subunit ribosomal RNA", at positions 505 to 796 of the family's 1533-position model. The record is from RNAcentral.
GUGCCAGCCGCCGCGGUAAUACAGAGGGUGCAAGCGUUGUUCGGAAUUAUUGGGCGUAAAGCGCGUGUAGGCGGUUUUGCAAGUCGGGUGUGAAAGCCCUCAGCUCAACUGAGGAAGUGCGCCCGAAACUGCAGAUCUUGAGUACCGGAGAGGGUGGCGGAAUUCCCCAAGUAGAGGUGAAAUUCGUAGAUAUGGGGAGGAACACCGGUGGCGAAGGCGGCCACCUGGACGGAUACUGACGCUGAGACGCGAAAGCGUGGGUAGCAAACAGGAUUAGAUACCCUCGUAGUCC